This 468-nucleotide ribosomal RNA is filed under the name uncultured bacterium. RNAcentral's name for it is "partial 16S ribosomal RNA". It matches the Rfam family "Bacterial small subunit ribosomal RNA", at positions 28 to 507 of the family's 1533-position model. The record is from RNAcentral.
GACGAACGCUGGCGGCGUGCUUAACACAUGCAAGUCGAGCGGAAAGGCCCUGCUUUUGUGGGGUGCUCGAGUGGCGAACGGGUGAGUAACACGUGAGUAACCUGCCCUUGACUUUGGGAUAACUUCAGGAAACUGGGGCUAAUACCGGAUAGGAGCUCCUGCUGCAUGGUGGGGGUUGGAAAGUUUCGGCGGUUGGGGAUGGACUCGCGGCUUAUCAGCUUGUUGGUGGGGUAGUGGAUUACCAAGGCUUUGACGGGUAGCCGGCCUGAGAGGGUGACCGGCCACAUUGGGACUGAGAUACGGCCCAGACUCCUACGGGAGGCAGCAGUGGGGAAUAUUGCACAAUGGGCGGAAGCCUGAUGCAGCAACGCCGCGUGCGGGAUGACGGCCUUCGGGUUGUAAACCGCUUUCGCCUGUGACGAAGCGUGAGUGACGGUAAUGGGUAAAGAAGCACCGGCUAACUACGUG